GCAGCAGUAGGGAUCUUCCACAAUGGACGAAAGUCUGAUGGAGCAACGCCGCGUGAGUGAAGAAGGUUUUCGGAUCGUAAAACUCUGUUGUUGGAGAAGAACGUAUUUGAUAGUAACUGAUCAGGUAGUGACGGUAUCCAACCAGAAAGCCACGGCUAACUACGUGCCAGCAGCCGCGGUAAUACGUAGGUGGCAAGCGUUGUCCGGAUUUAUUGGGCGUAAAGCGAGCGCAGGCGGUUUCUUAAGUCUGAUGUGAAAGCCUUCGGCUCAACCGAAGAAGUGCAUCGGAAACUGGGAAACUUGAGUGCAGAAGAGGACAGUGGAACUCCAUGUGUAGCGGUGAAAUGCGUAGAUAUAUGGAAGAACACCAGUGGCGAAGGCGGCUGUCUGGUCUGUAACUGACGCUGAGGCUCGAAAGCAUGGGUAGCAAACAGGAUUAGAUACCCUGGUAGUCCAUGCCGUAAACGAUGAGUGCUAGGUGUUGGAGGGUUUCCGCCCUUCAGUGCCGCAGCUAACGCAUUAAGCACUCCGCCUGGGGAGUACGACCGCAAGGUUGAAACUCAAAGGAAUUGACGGGGCCCCCCC
Molecule: ribosomal RNA, 585 nt
Filed under: Lactobacillus sp.
Lineage: Bacteria; Bacillati; Bacillota; Bacilli; Lactobacillales; Lactobacillaceae
Description: bacterial SSU rRNA
Rfam family: Bacterial small subunit ribosomal RNA
Source: RNAcentral